CUAAGUGUUCGGGGUUUCCUCGGUACUGAAGUUAACACAUUAAGUACUCCGCCUGAGUAGUACGUACGCAAGUAUGAAACUUAAAGGAAUUGACGGGAUCCCGCACAAGCGGUGGAUCAUGUUGUUUAAUUCGAAGAUACACGAAAAACCUUACCAGGUCUUGACAUUAUCCUGCGAAGCUAUAGAAAUAUAGGGGAGGUUAUCAGGAUAACAGGUGGUGCAUGGUUGUCGUCAGCUCGUGUCGUGAGAUGUUAGGUUAAGUCCUAAAACGAGCGCAACCCUUGUCGUUAGUUACCAGCACGUUAUGGUGGGGACUUUAGCGAGACUGCCAAUGAAAAAAUUGGAGGAAGGUGAGGAUUACGUCAAAUCAUCAUGCCCCUUAUGAUCUGGGCUACAAACGUGAUACAAUGGCUAUUACAAAGAGCAGCUGAAACGUGAGUUGUUAGCUAAUCUCAAAAAAAUAGUCUCAGUUCGGAUUGAAGUCUGCAACUCGACUUCAUGAAGUUGGAAUCGCUAGUAAUCGCGAAUCAGCAUGUCGCGGUGAAUACGUUCUCGGGGUUUGUACACACCGCCCGUCAAACCAUGAAAGUUGACAAUACCCAAAACCAGUCGCUUAACUACUUCGGUAGAGGGAGCUGUCUAAGGUAGGGUCGAUGAUUGGGGUUAAGUCGUAACAAGGUAUCCCUACCGGAAGGUGGGGAUGGAUCACCUCCUUUCUAAGGAAAUGUCGUAUCAUGAUCAUCUUCAGUUUUGAAAGACUUAGAGUAGAUAAGUUUUUCUUUUGGCGUAGAGGAAGGGCCUAUAGCUCAGUUGGUAGAGCACACGCUUGAUAAGCGUGCGGUCAAUGGUUCAAGUCCAUUUAGGCCCACCAUACCACAUUCCUCCUUAUUCAA
This 893-nucleotide ribosomal RNA is filed under the name Coconut lethal yellowing phytoplasma. Its description in RNAcentral is "bacterial SSU rRNA". The stretch from base 1 to 716 matches the Rfam family "Bacterial small subunit ribosomal RNA", at positions 816 to 1533 of the family's 1533-position model. Lineage: Bacteria; Bacillati; Mycoplasmatota; Mollicutes; Acholeplasmatales; Acholeplasmataceae. The record is from RNAcentral.